CUUCCGCUUCCUUUGUGACGUCGAAUGCCAGCGCCGGAAGUGUGCUGUGCGGCCUGUCGGCGGUAGUUGAACGACGCCAUGGGAGAGGGUCAGAGCCCUGCUCCCGAAAGGGAGAUUAAGAAUUUCCACUUCCGUCAGAUGAAGAAAAUCCGAAUCUUCAAUUCUCCGGACGAGUUGCCGAAGGACAGGGUGAAUCUCCUGACCUUGUCCAAUGUUUAUGGACUAAUCUUUAUGGGAGGGAAGACUGGCCUGAAGAUACUCAACACCCAAUACCUAAACAUGGUUGACCAGGGCGAGGGGAACAUUAAUACAAUUGUCGAAGAUCCUCCUGUCAUGACAGUCAAUAUGAAGCUCCCAGUGCACCACAUUGGCCUGAGCUGUGACGAUUUCACCUUGUCUGUUGCCAUGACAUCAGAGGAAUAUGGGCUGGUCAUUGCCUUUUUUGACGUACGAACAUUUUUGAACAAGGACAAACAGCAGAAGCGACCGUUUGUGUACUACAAGCCAGAGAAAAAGUGCACAGUGACCGAUUUGAAAUGGAAUCCGGCAGUGAACUGUAUCCUGGCCAUCUGCAUGUCUGACGGAAGCUUGACCAUACUGGAAGUUACUGACAUCAUUAAGCAGCAUGCCUCCCUUCCUCCCGCAGCUGAUAUUACUUCAUUGUGCUGGAGUCCGAAAGGGAAGCAACUGGCUGCCGGUCGAAGGAAUGGGACAGUGGUUCAGUACUCACCGGUUCUUCAAGAAAAGAAGAUCAUCCCAUGCCCCCCCUUCUACACUGCAGACAAUCCAGUUAAAGUGUUGGACAUCUGUUGGAUCAGCACAUACGUUUUUGCGGUGGUUUAUGUGGCUGCGGAUGGAUCACUGGAGAGCCCUCCUGAAUUUGUGAUGGUUUCCCUGGCGAAAAAGGAUGAGAAACGAGAGGACCAGUUCUUAAACUUUAAUGACCUGUGCUUUGGGAUAUCGUCUGAGAGGCAGCACCGUUACUACAUGCACUACAUUGAGGAGUGGGAUCUUAUCUUGGCAUCUUCAGCUGCAUCUAUUGAAGUCAGCAUUGUUGCUCGGCAACCGGAUAAGGUCAACUGGGAAGUCUGGGUCCUGGAGGAUGCAGCCCGUGCAGAAUUCCCUGUGACAGAGAAUAGUGAUGACACAAUGCCAGUUGGUGUUGGUGUAGACAUCACCAAUCAGCAAGCAAUCGCUAUAGGCAAUGAGAAGACUUUCCCUCCAUCUCCGAUCUUGAUAUUGCUUUCAACAGAUGGACUCCUAUGUCCGUUCCAUAUGCUCAACUCUAUGCCUGGAAUGAAGACACCAGUGAAAUCACCAAAAUGCCCACGUUUAGAAGGGGAGCGAGAACCCAAGCCAGCUCAGGUAUCAAUACCUGCUCCCUCAUUAUUGGUGCCAUCACGUGCUGCGACUGCUUCGCCACAGGACUCUACUGUGGUUGUAAAUCCACCUGCAUCGUUCCGCCCAUCUGUGCCGCCGGUGAUGCUGCCACCUUUACCCACUUUUUCGAAGAUACCUACCCAGACUCCACAUGGAAAACCCGUACAAGAUAUGGUUAAAAUCGAGCUUUAUGAACCGUCCUCUUCAAGUGACAAUCAAAAACUUGGUGCCUCGGAAGCAAAGAUCAGCCCAACACCAUCUACCAAAUUUGUCAGGUUCUUGGAAAGCGGAUCAGCAUCCAGUGAGAAUGAACUGAAGGCUCAAAUGAUGCAGAAUCUGCUGCCCUCAGCAGCAGGUGGUCCACCUCCAGUCACUGCUCGAAGUGCAAUGGGUGCUGCUGCCAUCUUUCCUGUUUCCAAGACAUGUCCAACUCAGAGCUCUGCCUCCUUAGAACUGUCCGUGUCUGAUUUGGAGAAACAGCUGAAACAACAUCCGACCUUGGAUCCUGUCAUGGUGGGAAUCAUGGAAGAGAUUUCUCUCUUUCAGAAGGAACUUGAUGAUUUGAAAGCCCGCACGGCACGUUCUAACUUUGAGGUUGGCAGCGCCAAGGAGAUGACCCACCUGCGGUAUGAUGCCCAGUCACUGCACACCUUCCUGUUGGAGGUCAAGGAGAUAACAGAGACUCUGCAUGAAGAAAUCGGCAUUCUGAAGACCGUGAUGCUAGAAGGAUUUGCUGGUGUGGAAGAUGCAACUACACAUAACGAGCGAAACAUGGAUAAGAAUUAUCUUCAGCUCCUGCGUCGAAAGCCCCUCAGCCCAAAGAGCGAAGCCCAACUUAAGGAAAUUCGCCAACUGCAUCAGUAUGUGAAGUUUGCCGUACAGGAUGUAAAUGAUAUGUUGGAUAUGGAAUGGGAGCAAUACCAGGAAAAGAACAAGAAGCACAAACAUCUGCUUCUACCAGAGAGGGAAGUGUUGUUCAACGCUUUGGCGAGCCAUCAUGAGAUCAUUACCCAGCAGGAUAAGAAGAUUAAUGAACUGAUAGACAGCUUGCAGAACCUCCGUAUUUAUAACCAGACCUCCAAGUGGUGUGUGCCCAAUGAAAAGUGUCUGCUGAGUGAUCGUUGCUGGGAUACUGAGUUAGAGAUGCUGCGCAAUGUGCUGGUGAAGACUACCCUAGAUGGAACACCAAAAGGGACUUCAGCCACCCCAGGUAAACUAUCCCCAGUGAAACAAUCCCAGCUACGGAGCUUCCUUUCAAAAAGACAGACUCCACCUGUGAGAUCCACUGCACCGGCUAAUUUGUCCAGAUCAGCCUUUAUAUCACCAAAAUGUUAUGGAGAGUUGGAUGAUUCGAGUCCGAAGUCUACUUUGCUGCGCCCAGAUUAUGAAGGUCUUCAGGCCAAAGAGCAGGAGACAUCCUUGUUAAAACAUGCUCCUGUCACGAGACUGCCUUCCUUUCCACCAUCAGCAAUCACCGCGCAGUCAACACCUUAUGGCAAAGUCCAGCUUCCUGCUGGUCCCACUGUCACCACAAUUCCAAAGCCAACAGGUAAGAUGGUGAGACACGGAGCACCAGGGACUGAGAAGCCAGCCACCAUCCUUCCAGCUGCCCAGGCUGCUGCCCAAGCAGCUUUCCGGAGACAGAUGACCAGUCAGGUGCCAGCUCCAAGUGCUACCUUCCAAGAGCCUGAACAAAAAGAGAGUCCUCCAACCAUUACCCCUCAAAUCCUGCAAGGGACAGGCCUGCCUCAGGGUCCACCACCUGUCGCCAGCUCUUCUUUGUCAGCAUCUGAAACCGAGAUUGGGACUCAGAUCAAACAGGGACCUGUGAAAGUGCCUGCGAAAACAGAGCCCAGUCCAUCUGGAUCAAGUUUACCAGAAUCCUCCUACGCAUCAUCAUCGAGUUUGAUGGCCUCUGUAUCCAUAGGGAGUGUGCUGAAACCUGACCUAUCCAUGUUUGCAGCCCCAAGCGAGCAGCUCCAUAAAAUUUCCUCAUUCCCAGGAGCCUCCACUGGAUUCCAUUUCACGUCACCAAGCACAUCCUCAUUAAAUGCACUGAGCAACAAGGCUCAAGGAUAUUCUAUAGUUACAAAGGAUGCUCUUCGCUCCGCCUUAGGAUUGCCCAAUAAAAUAUCCUUUGCACUGGGAACUGAUGUCCCACCUUCACAAAGGAGCUUAAAGUCCAGCUCUAGCUCUGCCUCUGCAGCUGAAUCUACAUCAGUCACUGGCAUCUGUACCCCUAAUGCUCCGUGUCCAGAGCUGCAACCAGCUGGCAGGCCAGUUGUAACUGGAGCAGCUCCUGAGUCCACCAUCCCUGCAGCUGCAAGCAAACUUGAGGAUCAGCAGUCCAGUUCCGAAACACAGCCAUCCAAACCGGAAUCUCGCACUUCCUCAGCUGAGCUUUACCCAUCUAAAACUGAAGCUCCAGUGCAGCCUGAACCUGAGAUCCUGCCACAGGCCAGGCCUGAUGUUUCACCACAGCCUGAGCCUGAGGUACCUUCGCUGCAACCCAAGCCUGAGGUUGUUCCUCCAGAGCCUACGCUUGUGGUUCCAUCUUGGCCAAAGCCCGAAGUUGCUCCUUCCGAGUCCAGGUCCGAGGUGGCUCCUUCCGAGUCCAGGUCCGAGGUGGCUCCUUCCGAGUCCAGGUCCGAGGUGGCUCCUUCCGAGUCCAGGUCCGAGGUGGCUCCUCCCGAGUCCAGGUCCGAGGUGGCUCCUCCCGAGUCCAGGUCCGAGGUGGCUCCUCCCGAGUCCAGGUCCGAGGUGGCGCUGCCAGAAUCCAGGUCCGAGGUGGCGCUGCCCGAGGCCAGGUCCGAGGUGACUCUUCCCGAGUGCAGGCCCGAGGUGGCGCCUGCAAAGUCCAGGUCCGAGGUGGCGCUGCCCGAGGCCAGGUCCGAGGUAGCACUGCCUGAGGCCAGGUCCGAGGUGACUCUUCCCGAGUGCAGGCCCGAGGUGGUGCCUGCCGAGUCCAGGUCCGAGGUGGCGCUGUCCGAGUGCAGGUCCGAGGUGGCGCUGUCCGAGUGUAGGUCCGAGGUGGCGCUGUCCGAGUGCAGGUCCGAGGUGGCGCUGCCCGAGUGCAGGUCCGAGGUGGUGCUGCCCGAGGCUUUUCCACCACAGACUAAGCCCAAAGUAACACCACUGCAAUCUGAAACAGACCUCUUUGAGGGUAGUCCUAAAGGGGUCACAAUCGGCAGCUUCUCCGGACUUGUGGUCAGUCAGACAGAUGGUGCCUCCAGAUUGGAUAGAUGUUCACAGGAUAAUUUCAUCUUUGCCCAAACGGCCAAAACCCCAACAGCUCCUCCAUCUGUGGCCUUCGGCGAGGUCUUCCAAAUUGGAAAGUCAGAAUCUGCAGAAGUAAUGCCAGUAUCCUCAAUUGGCACAGUUAUGCCUAGACCAAGUGGAACGCCAUAUCUCUCUGCUUCUGCAAUUAGCACCAGAACUCCUAGUUCACCUUGCACUUUACAUUCGAUAGGUAGCAAAUCUGAUUUUGUUUGUAAACAAGAGGAGUCCAUAAGUACUGCUGGUCAAAUUGCUGCUGCCAUUGCUGCUAUAAACACUUUGCAAGAUUCAACUUUUGCCGACACAUUCACACCCCUCUCAGCUUCAUUAACUGAAUCCACGGCGUCGUUCUCUCCUGAUGGAAAGCCUUCAUCUCGUACUAGCAGCUUGACCAUCGCCGGUGCAGCUGUGAAACAGACAGUGGCACAGAGCCCAAAAAUACUGGCAUCCAAAGCCUCAGUAAGCACUGCAGGAAGUCCUUCUGUUCCAAGUGUCAGAGGGACAACAUCCACAUCCACAUCAACGAGCAGUCAGUUUAUGCCAGGACUGGUCAUUUCUCCAGAAUCCAGCACGAUUUUGGUGACAUCUGUUGGAAGUACUGCCCCACAGCCUCAGUCCAUGGGCACUGCUGCACCCACAAGUGGCAGUGAGGCUACCACAGCACCGCUGUUUGGAACCGCUGCGCCCGGACCCUCUGUGCCAUCACCCCUGACAUCCCAGCUGUUUGGUCAGCCUGUGGAUACCAGCACAACACCAACCCUGGGCUUUGGCCAGCCGGUAACCACAACUGCCCCGUCCACCUUUGUACAAGGCACAAACGGUAUCACCGCCCCUACCAUUGCCGACAGCACCAGCUCAGCAAAAGCUGCUUUUGGUCAGGCCUCUGACGCAGGCUUUGGGCACCAGCAGCUGUCCAGCAGUAAAUUCAACUUUUCCUUUCCUGGCACGCCCACUACCAGCAAUACCAGUACAUUCCCAUUUGGACAGGUGCCUCUCAGCAGUGGUACCAUAUUCGGGCAGUCUGGUGCCCCAACAUUUGGACAGAAUGCUAGCUUCGGGCAAAGCCCUGCUUUUGGAACCGGCUCGGCAACAUCUUCUGGAUUCGGCUUUGUGCAACCAUCAAGUUUUGGCAACACUUCAGGCUCUGUAUUUGGUCAGUCUACAGGCUCCGCCAUUGUGUUUGGUCAGCCUACUAGUGCACAGCCGGUUUUUGGUUCCCCGGCACCUGGAAGUGGAUUCUUUAGCGGACUGGGAAGAAGGCCAAGCUUGGAUGCAAGUGCUAGAAAUCCGUUUGGGCAGACAAACUUUGGAUCAGCUGAGGCUGCUAAUGCUCAGAGCCUCUUUGGGAACAGUGGUGCCAAGACAUUUGGGUUUGGCAGUGCCUCUUUCGGAUCAGAUCAGAAGACAUCAGGCUCGUUCAGUGCAGGCUCCAGUGUCGCUGCCCAAGGCUUUGGCAACUUUUCCACUCCCUCAAAACCCCCAGGUGGUUUUGGUGCUGCUCCCGUGUUUGGCAGUCCGCCAGCCUUUGGUAGCACCCCAACGUUCGGAGGCCUACCAGCAUUUGGUGGCUCACCAGUUUUUAGUGGAACAAUGAGCACUUCGGGAGGCAAGGUGUUUGGUGAAGGAACAGCAGCUGCCAGUGCUGGAGGUUUCGGCUUUGGGAACACUGCCAAUGCGCAAUCAUUUGGAAGCAUAGCAAAUCAGUCCAGUGCAUCUGGUUUUGGAGGACAAGGGUCUGGCUUUCCAGCGUUUGGGUCCAGUGGAGGAGGGUUUGGAAGUGGUUUUGGAUCCACAAAUCAGUAAGUAAUGAGGCUGAACGUUCAUUUCUAACUGAUACCAGAACCUGGAAUCAUAUUAACCCUUGCCUGCUGAUCGAGCCAGACCAACAAAAAUAAAUGUGGCCAGCCCCUUUAUCGGUUAAAAGGCAAUUUUCCCAGCUGUGCAUUUAGAUGCUGUUUUGACUUUGCUCUUUGUGUGGUGUGUCCACUGUCUUCUGUAUUUCUUUUAAUCUGACCCUUGAGAAAUCUCUUGGUGUCAGAAUACCUGAUCAGGUAGUGAGAUUGAGUGGCUCCUGCUGAAGCAACAGGCUGCAACCAGCUACCAGAUGAAGAGGAUGUUCUGAGUCAAAAUCACAUUCUAUUUAAAGGAAAAUAAUAGCAAAAAUUGAACCUGCUUGGCUCUACAAAGCAAAUCUUACUACAGCCAGUAUGUCAUAGAAUCAUACAGCACAGAAACAGACCCUUCAGUCCAACUCCCCCAUGCCAACCAGACAUCCAAAUCUGACCUAGUCCUAUUUGCCAGCGU
RNA transcript from Rhincodon typus (whale shark), 6960 nucleotides. It is a transcript of the gene named nucleoporin 214, with no coding region annotated. Lineage: Eukaryota; Metazoa; Chordata; Chondrichthyes; Orectolobiformes; Rhincodontidae. The record is from RefSeq and is a predicted model, not a curated record. The transcript has 36 exons.